This 253-nucleotide ribosomal RNA is filed under the name uncultured bacterium. RNAcentral describes it as "partial 16S ribosomal RNA". It matches the Rfam family "Bacterial small subunit ribosomal RNA", at positions 524 to 776 of the family's 1533-position model. The record is from RNAcentral.
UACGUAGGGUGCAAGCGUUAAUCGGAAUUACUGGGCGUAAAGCGUGCGCAGGCGGCUUUGCAAGACAGAUGUGAAAUCCCCGGGCUCAACCUGGGAACUGCAUUUGUGACUGCAAGGCUAGAGUACGGUAGAGGGGGAUGGAAUUCCGCGUGUAGCAGUGAAAUGCGUAGAUAUGCGGAGGAACACCGAUGGCGAAGGCAAUCCCCUGGGCCUGCACUGACGCUGAGGUACGAAAGCGUGGGGAGCAAACAGG